This 292-nucleotide ribosomal RNA is filed under the name uncultured bacterium. RNAcentral's name for it is "partial 16S ribosomal RNA". It matches the Rfam family "Bacterial small subunit ribosomal RNA", at positions 505 to 796 of the family's 1533-position model. The record is from RNAcentral.
GUGUCAGCAGCCGCGGUAAUACGAGAGGCCCAAACAUUAUUCGGAAUUACUGGGCUUAAAGAGUUCGUAGGCGGCAUGGUAAGUAGGGUGUGAAAUCCCUCGGCUCAACCGAGGAAUUGCGCUCUAAACUACCGUGCUAGAGGAAGCUAGAGGUGAGCGGAACUGAUGGUGGAGCGGUGAAAUGCGUUGAUAUCAUCAGGAACACCGGAGGCGAAGGCGGCUCACUGGGGCUUUUCUGACGCUGAGGAACGAAAGCCAGGGUAGCGAACGGGAUUAGAUACCCCCGUAGUCC